This 1057-nucleotide long non-coding RNA is filed under the name Homo sapiens (human). Its description in RNAcentral is "non-protein coding LOXL1-AS1:27". Lineage: Eukaryota; Metazoa; Chordata; Mammalia; Primates; Hominidae. The record is from RNAcentral.
AGGUUUCUGAUGCUCCUUGCCUCACCCUGUGAGCUGGCAUAGAACAUCUCUAAGGGGGGAAGGAGAUGCCCUCAUUGAAAUGAGGGAGAAGGUGGAUGAGGGGCUCCUUCCUUUUGUCCUCAGAUGACCCAAGCCAAGUGCAGAAGGCGAGCCUCCUCCCAAAGCUCGGCUAGUCCCUCCACCAAAGCCAGGAUCAGAGCCCACACCUGCCUGGCCAACCCCUGGCACUGAUGAUGCCUGGGUGCGGGUUAAGCUGGGAGGUGAGAUGCCAGGGGGGUGCUGUUGGCUGGGUCGGGGGAAGUCGGGAGGGGGCGCUGCUCCGUGCUUAGCAGCUCCGGGGAGGCCUCCAGGAAGUUCUAAGGAGGGGCCCGGGGGGCCCGGAGCAGUUUCCAGUGGCCAGGGGUACGCGCGGCCGGAGGGGCGCCGGGGCCGUACUCACCGCGGCCGUUCUGGUUGGGCCGGUACACGCUGCCCACGCUGAGGCGGCCCUGCUGCGCGCCGUUCCGCUCCCCACCCGGCGGGGGCGUGUCGGAGCUGCGCACCGGCAGGAGCUCCUGCCUGCCUGGAUGAAGAGGAGGUCAAGACUUUGUCCCCCACUCCGCAAGAUACCCUCUCUGUUCCGGAGCGGUGGGUCCCUCCCCUGUUAGGACCUUGUCUCCCUCAGGACUGGACCUGGAUCCUGGGCCUGCAGUCAGAUUGCCAGUUUCACUUAGAGGUGGAAAUGUCAACCCACUGGUUGGAAUGGGAAGCUGCUGUGUUGUGAGCCACCUUAUGGAAAACCCAUGUGGCAGAGAACCGAGGGUGGUGGCUGGCCAACAGCAAGCCAGGAGCUGAGGCCCACAGUCCAACAACUGGUGAGGAACCACAUGCUGCCAGCAGCCAUGUGAGGGAACUUAGAAGCAAAUCCUUCCCCAGUUGAGCCUUCAGAUGACACCAGAGCCUUGGCUGACCCCUUACUUUUACCCUUGUAAGAGACUUUGAGCCAGAAGACUUGGCUAAACCACACCUGGAUUCCUGACCCACAGAAACUUGAAAUAAUAAAUGUGUUGUUUUAAGU